Lycium barbarum (goji berry) is the source of this 547-nucleotide long non-coding RNA. RefSeq lists it as uncharacterized. NCBI's taxonomy places the organism in Eukaryota, Viridiplantae, Streptophyta, Magnoliopsida, Solanales, Solanaceae. The record is from RefSeq and is a predicted model, not a curated record. The transcript is spliced from 2 exons.
UUGAAAAGGCACACCUUCUCCCUCCAUUCUGACAAUGGCGAAGCCAAUUUUUAAACAAAAAAAACCAUCUAAAGAUUCUUCAAUUGCCGAAAGAGAGACGGAGAGGGUAUUUGUUCUGUACAAGAAAUCUGGUAAUAUUGUGGACGUAUGCAUCAAAGAGAGAACAAGAUCAUUGCAUCCUUUAAGUUUUUCAGAAAUAUGGUUACUAGAUAAAAUAUUCUCAAUUGAAGAUCUUUUUGGAGCAACUAUUUAGAGGGAGACAAAGACAGAGGCAUAAAAGAGAUAGAAUUGGAUGAAAUUUUCUCCUGCUGUUAACUUGGCUGUAUCAGUAAUUUGUUAAUGUCGGGUGAGGUGGUGCAGUAAGGCAGUUGCCUUGGUAUGACUCAUAUCUUGAAGGGAGAGAGAUACGUUUGUGAUGGAAGAGAAUUUAUGAAGAGAGAUCAAUUAUAAUAGGGUAUCAAUCCGUUGCAAUAAUUCUGAAUUGGAAAAAAAUGAAAAAAUCAUGUAAAAUUAUUACACAUGUACACGCAUACAACAUUUUCUUAAA